GGUGAACGCUGGCGGCGUGCCUAAUACAUGCAAGUCGAGCGAACAGGCGAGGAGCUUGCUCCUCUGACGUUAGCGGCGGACGGGUGAGUAACACGUGGAUAACCUACCUAUAAGACUGGGAUAACUUCGGGAAACCGGAGCUAAUACCGGAUAAUAUAUUGAACCGCAUGGUUCAAUAGUGAAAGACGGUUUUGCUGUCACUUAUAGAUGGAUCCGCGCCGCAUUAGCUAGUUGGUAAGGUAACGGCUUACCAAGGCAACGAUGCGUAGCCGACCUGAGAGGGUGAUCGGCCACACUGGAACUGAGACACGGUCCAGACUCCUACGGGAGGCAGCAGUAGGGAAUCUUCCGCAAUGGGCGAAAGCCUGACGGAGCAACGCCGCGUGAGUGAUGAAGGUCUUCGGAUCGUAAAACUCUGUUAUUAGGGAAGAACAAAUGUGUAAGUAACUAUGCACGUCUUGACGGUACCUAAUCAGAAAGCCACGGCUAACUACG
RNAcentral lists this ribosomal RNA (495 nucleotides) under uncultured bacterium. Its description in RNAcentral is "partial 16S ribosomal RNA". It matches the Rfam family "Bacterial small subunit ribosomal RNA", at positions 28 to 505 of the family's 1533-position model. The record is from RNAcentral.